GCGGUUGGCCCGGGCGGGCCGGGGCCGGGCUCGGCGGGAGAGGGGCCGCGGCUCAGGCAGGCGAGUGCCCCCCGGCCCGGGGCGCCUGAGCAGGCCGGAGGGGCCACGGAGGAAAGGGAAACAAAGCAAAAAAAAAAAGAAAAAGAAAAAGAAAGAAAGAAAGAAAAGGAAAGGAAAGUUAAAUGGUAGAGAGAAAACCGAGCGAGCUGUCUAAAAACCCAGCUUCUCCCUCUACGUCCGAAGCGAUUUUCUUUCCACAUGCAGCACCUACCCCCGCCAAAAAAAAGCUCUCCCCCCCCAACGGAUUUUUGUUUUUAAGCAAGGAGAGAGUAGGAUAAAGCCGGGCGUUGAAGGAAGAGAGAGAAGCUGUCGCCAGCCGCGUCCUGGGAUCGCCCCGGAGCGGAACGACUCUAAAACACGGGACCGUCGCUCCGGCGGAAAAACUACGGGCAAAGCGGGUGCUGGAGCCGGCGGGUUUUUUCCCCGGGCGGGGGCAGGCGGGGGGGGGUCCGGCCGGGGGCUCGGGAGCCUCGCGAAGGAGCCGGGCUGCAGCCCGGGGCUCGCCGCGCUCCCGCCUGCCGCCGGGCUGCCCCGGGGCCGGGACACCCCCAGCGCCGCCGAGGCACUGGGGGCCGGGGGAGGGCGAUUUCCCCUCAUUCCCGCUGGAAGAGAAGGAUGUUUUCCUCUGCUGCUUAGCUUUCGUACUAAAGAUGUCAUCUGAAAGUCUGGAAGGAAGGGGGGAGCGGGUUCAGUUCUCUUCCACGGUAACAACCAUAUUCUGCAUAUUGAAAAAUAUGAUAGACAGUGGGGAAGGCUUUCUUUUUUUUAAAAAAAAAAAAAGCCCAACCUUUUCAAUAUUGAUUCAACAACAACAAAAAAUAGAGGGAGAUAAUUUUAAAAAGAGAAGAAGCAGCACCAGCAGCAGGGAGAAUAUAGGCUCAGCAACUCUCCAGGUUCGCUUCCUUAUUAUUACUAUCCAGGGGUAAUUUUUCAUCUCUGCUAGCUAAUCUUUGUUCCUUGUGAAGAUAAUGAAUAGCCCAAUCCUUAUCUCCUGGGCUCCUGGAGGCUGCUGGAGAAUGGGGUUGAACAGGGUUGAAAAUUGGUUCCAAAGUGCUGCUGAAUAAAUGGUGUUCCUUA
Long non-coding RNA from Dromaius novaehollandiae (emu), 1137 nucleotides. RefSeq lists it as uncharacterized. The transcript has 2 exons. The record is from RefSeq and is a predicted model, not a curated record. Lineage: Eukaryota; Metazoa; Chordata; Aves; Casuariiformes; Dromaiidae.